Molecule: ribosomal RNA, 431 nt
Filed under: uncultured bacterium
Lineage: Bacteria
Description: partial 16S ribosomal RNA
Rfam family: Bacterial small subunit ribosomal RNA
Source: RNAcentral
AGCGAACGCUGGCGGAAGGAGGAAAAAAGGAAAGUAGAGCGCAUGGCAAUUGUAUCGGACGACGGGAGAGUAACACGUGGUAUAAUACUUUUUGUUUUGGAAGAAAUGAGGGAAACUUCAGCUAAUACCGGAUAAGCCCUUACGGGUAAAGAUUUAUCUCCUAAAGAUUGGCCCGCGUCUGAUUAGCUAGUUGGUGAUUUCCCGGCUCACCACGGCGACGAUCAGUAGCUGGUCUGAGAGGAUGAUCAGCCGAACUGGGACGGAGACACGGCCCAGAAUACUACGGGAGGCAGAAGUGGGGAAUAUUGGACAAUGGGGGCAAACCUGAUAAAGAAAUGACGCGUGAGUGAUGAAGGCCUUAGGGUUGGAAAGAUCUUUUGCCCGGGAAGAGAAUGACGGUACCGGGAGAAGAAGACCCGGCUAACUUCGUA